This is a long non-coding RNA of Asparagus officinalis (garden asparagus), 233 nucleotides long. RefSeq lists it as uncharacterized. The transcript is spliced from 3 exons. Lineage: Eukaryota; Viridiplantae; Streptophyta; Magnoliopsida; Asparagales; Asparagaceae. The record is from RefSeq and is a predicted model, not a curated record.
GCAGAUGACAUCACGAAGCAGAUAAAUACUUGCAAUGGUUUUUAUUGUGAUAGCUUCAAGCCAAACAAUGAAACGAGUCCUAAGAUGUGGACAGAAAAUUGGACUGGCUGUUUUAAAAGUUGGGAUUCACCAGAUCCUCAUAGGCCCGCAGAGGAUGUAGCUUUUGUUGUUGCUCGAUUUUUCCAAAGAGGAGGAAUUGUGCGUAAUGUUGUGCGAUGGAGCAUACAGAACCU